Molecule: small RNA, 117 nt
Filed under: Marmota monax (woodchuck)
Lineage: Eukaryota; Metazoa; Chordata; Mammalia; Rodentia; Sciuridae
Source: RNAcentral
GCCAGGUCUGCUGGCGUGCACCUGAAGUCCCAGCUACUCAGGAGGCUGAGGCAGGAAGAUCCCUUGAGCCCAGGAGUUCAGGGUCAGCCUGGGCAAUAUAGUAGGACCCUGCUUCUU